UCCCUCUUAGCUCAGUUGGUAGAGCGCGUCACUAGUAGUCGCUAUGACGAGGUCAGUCGUUCAAGUCGGCUAGAGGGAA
Non-coding RNA from Armillaria novae-zelandiae, 79 nucleotides. The record is from the annotation of a GenBank genome assembly. NCBI's taxonomy places the organism in Eukaryota, Fungi, Basidiomycota, Agaricomycetes, Agaricales, Physalacriaceae.